AUUUAGUUGAUUUAAGAUAUGUUGUUUUAAUUAUUAGGAAAACAUGAUGGAAAUUUGUGUUUGGUUGAGGUAAAAAAUUGUGUUUCUGAUAACUAAAACUGAGUCUUAGGCUUGUCCUCCCAACAUAAUCAUUAUCAAUUAUUAUUAGCCUCUUAGUUAUCGAUUAGUGAAUUUAAGUACAAAUUUUUAUUCUUGAACAAGUCUUGAAUGAAUGUUUGCAAGCAGGAAAAAUAUUACAGAAAACUGAUCAGGCUGGCGGUGGAGGAGGCAUGGCAAGGCGUGGUGGGUCAAUUUCAACAAGGGCCUUGGGCUUGGCACUUGCGAAUGCAACACCAGAUCAGAAGCAACGAAUAGAGAAGGCUGAGGUAAAUGCUUCCAAGCAUGACUUUCCCCAAGAUUCCAUUGACAAGCAGAGCAGAGGUUGAUGCAUUAGAACUGGAAAAGGAGGUGGCAUCAGAUGAAGAGUUGGAAUAGAUGGAGAAGUAUAUAACCAAGCCAUUUAGGAUAAUGUGAUUAAGGUGAUCUGACCCUGUAAUAUCCUCUGUAUAUAGUUCACCGACAAAUUUUUGUGUAAUAACCACCUUUCCCAGCUGUAUCAGAUGCUUGAUAGUAUACCCCAUCAUAGUCUAGUGCACCCACUUGUAGACUUCCCUUUUGGAAAGUCUAGUUUACAGUAGUGUUAAUUGUAUUUGACAGUUUAUAUUUCUA
Theobroma umbraticum is the source of this 708-nucleotide long non-coding RNA. RefSeq lists it as uncharacterized. NCBI's taxonomy places the organism in Eukaryota, Viridiplantae, Streptophyta, Magnoliopsida, Malvales, Malvaceae. The record is from RefSeq and is a predicted model, not a curated record.